RNAcentral lists this ribosomal RNA (496 nucleotides) under Alteromonas sp. RNAcentral describes it as "bacterial SSU rRNA". It matches the Rfam family "Bacterial small subunit ribosomal RNA", at positions 397 to 885 of the family's 1533-position model. Lineage: Bacteria; Pseudomonadati; Pseudomonadota; Gammaproteobacteria; Alteromonadales; Alteromonadaceae. The record is from RNAcentral.
CCGCGUGUGUGAAGAAGGCCUUCGGGUUGUAAAGCACUUUCAGUUGUGAGGAAAAGUUAGUAGUUAAUACCUGCUAGCCGUGACGUUAACAACAGAAGAAGCACCGGCUAACUCCGUGCCAGCAGCCGCGGUAAUACGGAGGGUGCGAGCGUUAAUCGGAAUUACUGGGCGUAAAGCGCACGCAGGCGGUUUGUUAAGCUAGAUGUGAAAGCCCCGGGCUCAACCUGGGAUGGUCAUUUAGAACUGGCAGACUAGAGUCUUGGAGAGGGGAGUGGAAUUCCAGGUGUAGCGGUGAAAUGCGUAGAUAUCUGGAGGAACAUCAGUGGCGAAGGCGACUCCCUGGCCAAAGACUGACGCUCAUGUGCGAAAGUGUGGGUAGCGAACAGGAUUAGAUACCCUGGUAGUCCACACCGUAAACGCUGUCUACUAGCUGUGUGUGCCUUUAAGGCGUGAGUAGCGAACCUAACGCGCUAAGUAGACCGCCUGGGGAGUACGG